RNAcentral lists this long non-coding RNA (200 nucleotides) under Manacus vitellinus (golden-collared manakin). RNAcentral's name for it is "lncRNA (ENSMVIG00005005897.1)". The record is from RNAcentral. Lineage: Eukaryota; Metazoa; Chordata; Aves; Passeriformes; Pipridae.
CAGUUUGUGCUCUGGCCACGCAUGAGCUGAUGUCAUAAUUGGAAAAUUCCACCCCUGUGAGGGGGAUAUUGGGUUGGAUGGAUGAGGAGGAUGAGAUGCACAUGAUUUUGACCAAGGGGAUGCCCUGAAGGGAAGAAUUUGAGGGAGGAAGAGGAGGUGAGGAAGGAUUCAGAUUUUUCAGGAAAAAAAGUCUUUGUCUC